RNAcentral lists this long non-coding RNA (29951 nucleotides) under Citrus maxima (pomelo). RNAcentral's name for it is "long non-coding RNA (CMAX_LNC001488)". Lineage: Eukaryota; Viridiplantae; Streptophyta; Magnoliopsida; Sapindales; Rutaceae. The record is from RNAcentral.
GUUGAAGACCUUAUUUCAGUCUCGAUUUGUGCCACCGACCCAACAAAGACAGUGAAAGUAGGCUCCAACCUCUCGGAGGAACAAAGAGAGAAGCUCAUCACAUUCCUACGCGAGCACCACGAUGUAUUCGCUUGGUCCUACUCGGAUAUGCCGGGUAUCCCACCUUCCCUCUCUUGUCACAAACUCAAUGUCAGCCCGCAUAAUAAACCGGUCAAACAGAAGCGUCGCGCCUUCAACCAAGAGAGGUAUGAUGCAAUUGAACAAGAGGUAGACCGCCUAUUAGCAGCAAGGUUUAUCCGGGAAGCAGUGUACCCUGAUUGGGUAUCCAACGUUGUUCUAGUCAAGAAAUCAAACGGAAAGUGGCGCAUGUGUGUGGACUUCACUGAUUUGAACAAGUCCUGCCCCAAGGAUAGCUUCCCGCUUCCUCAGGUGGACCAGCUGGUUGAUGCAACAGCGGGGCAUGAGAUGCUUAGUUUUAUGGACGCCUUCUCCGGGUACAACCAAAUUCCAAUGUAUGAACCCGAUCAAGAGAAAACGGCUUUCAUCACCAAUCGUGGAUUAUACUGUUAUAAGGUUAUGCCGUUCGGUUUGAAGAAUGCCGGGGCUACCUAUCAACGGCUGGUGAACAAAAUUUUCAAGGAACAAAUCAGGCGCACCAUGGAGGUGUACAUAGACGAUAUGAUCACCAAAUCGGUGCAUGCGGGGGAACACUUGGGGCACCUCAGAGAUACCUUUACCGUUUUGAGAAAACACCAUAUGCGGCUUAACCCUGAAAAGUGUGCAUUCGGGGUCACCUCGGGAAAAUUUCUUGGGUUCAUGGUACAACAGCGGGGGAUUGAAGCCAACCCCGAUAAAAUUCGCGCGGUUCUUGACAUGAAAUCGCCAAGCACCAUUAAGGAGGUUCAAAGUUUGGCGGGCCGGGUAGCUGCUCUGAGCCACUUCAUCUCCAAGGCUACUGACCGGUGUAAGCCUUUUUUCAAAGCUUUGAAGACUGGCAAGAAGCUCCAGUGGACACCCGAUUGCGAAGAGGCUUUCCAAGAACUGAAGUGGUACCUCGUGAAUGCUCCACUACUUGCCAAACCUGAGCCGGGAGAGGUGCUUUUGUUGUAUCUCGCCGUAUCUGAGCAUGCCACCAGCUCUGUGUUACUCCGAGAGGAUGAUAAUGGGGUACAACGACCUAUUUACUACACUAGUAAGGCUAUGGUUGAUGCCGAAAAGAGGUACCCCACCUCUGAGAAGAUCAUUUUGGCAUUGGUGGUCUCCGCACGGAAGCUCAGACCAUAUUUUCAGGCUCACACCAUUGCGGCCGUCACCAACCUUCCCCUCCGGCAAAUCCUCCAGAAGUUAGACAUGUCCGGAAGGCUUCUCCGAUGGUCCCUCGAAUUAAACGAGUUCGACAUCAUCUUCAAGCCUCGUUUGGCUAUUAAAGCACAAGCCAUUACUGAUUUUAUUGCGGAAUUCGCCAAUGACUCAAGUGGUGAAGGUGACUUGAGAUACCUGUUAGAUACCUCACCCACCGAUGAAGGGGGGCAGGUCUGGGAAAUAUAUGUAGACGGUUCCUCUAACUCACAUGGAAGUGGUGCAGGAGUUAUUAUAAUCGACCCGAAUAAGGUGAAAAUAUGUUACGCCUUGCAAUUUGGAUUCAAGGCUUCAAACAACGAAGCCGAAUACGAGGCCAUCAUAGCGGGGUUGAGGAUGUCGAAGGCUUUGGGAGCAAAAAGGGUACACGUCAAGAGUGACUCCCAGUUGGUGGUAAGCCAAAUUACCGCACAAUAUCAAGCGAAAGAGGAAAACAUGAAAGGGUACCUCGGGAAAACCAGAGAGUUGAUGUCCCAAUUUUGUGAGGUUAAGGUGGAAAGGGUACCCCGACUGGAGAAUAGCGAAGCCGACACCCUGGCGAAAAUGGCAUCCCUUGGGGGUAGCCCAGUCAUCUGGUCCCAUCACAACAGAACAUAUACCCGCACCCAGUGUCGGUCUCCCAGAGCCAUUGGAAGUAGGAUCGCUGUCCAACGAGGUGCUUUGGAUGGAGCCUAUCAUAAGGUACCUCAAGGACGGAGACCUCCCCUCAGAUAAAAGUGAAGCAAGGAGAUUAAAGUAUAAAGUCGCCCGGUAUUGCCUGAUCCAGGAUACCCUAUACAGAAGAGGUUUCACUCUUCCUUACCUUAAAUGCUUGGGAAGCGACGAGGCCGAGUAUGUCAUGAGGGAGAUACAUGAGGGGAUUUGUGGCAAUCACUAUGGAGCACAAUCAUUGGCGCAAAAAGCCCUCCGUCAGGGGUACUACUGGCCAACUAUACGGGAAGAUGCCAAGAAUAUGGUACGAAACUGUGACAAAUGCCAAAGGUUCGCCAGGGUACCCCACCUACAAAAUGGGCGGAAGCAGAGCCACUAACAAGCAUCACAGAAAGGAAAACCACCGAAUUCAUUUGGAAAAACCUCAUUUGCAGAUUUGGAAUCCCCUAUGCAAUUGUCAGUGAUAAUGGUAAGCAAUUCGAUAAUGAAAAAUUUCGAAGCUUUUGUUCGGAGUUGGGGAUAACCAACCGAUUUGCUACACCUACUCACCCCCAAUCUAAUGGGCAAGUCGAAGCCGUUAACAAGAUUAUCAAAGGUAUCCUGAAGAAGAAGCUAGAAGAAAGAAAAGGAGCAUGGGUAGACGAGCUACCUGGGGUACUGUGGGCGUACCGAACUACUCAAAACACCUCCACCAGGGAGACCCCGUUUUCCCUCGCAUUCGGUGUUGACGCAGUGAUUCCAGCAGAAAUUGGGGUACCCUCUCACAGGGUUGAAUACUUUGAUGAGGCCGAGAACACCUCCUUGGUUGCUUCAAACCUUGAUUUAGUGGCUGAAAAAAGAGCUAGAGCAGAACUGAGGACAACCAUAUAUCAGCAUCGCAUUUCGGGUCUAUACGAAAAAAGGGUACGCCCUCGGUCAUUCAAGAAAGGAGACUUGGUCUUGAGAAGGGUAACUCAGAACACUAGGGUACCCUGCGAAGGCGCUUUUGGGGCAAAUUGGGAAGGACCUUACCGCAUCGACAAACCCGUUGGGACAGGUGCAUACAGGCUACUCCACAUGGAUGGCACAAUUGUGAGGCACCCCUGGAACGCUGCAAUGCUACGGAAAUAUUACUAAAGGACAGUGUCUCAACCUUUAGUCUUUUGCUGUUAUUUGCUUUCUUUAAUGUUUUUGUGUGGUAGGCCAAAUAGGGUACCCCAAAUGCCCUAUGUUGGUCAGUUGCAACUUUAGAGUUUCUUUAAUUGUCAAAUGAAAGGGAUAGGAGGUCUUGCGGUCUCCCAUUCUCCUCAGGGUAACAAAGCUAAGUCAUGUAUUGAUCAACGCUUUCGUUAUCUAUAAAUGCAUGUUCUUUCUCAACAAAUAUAAUGUGGGUUCUUUAUUUAUUUUUCUCUACUUCGAUCUUAGAGUGCGGAUUAUAUUCAUUUAUCGCCAUUAAUAUACCCUCGCAUCUGGUAAUAUGCAAUUCUCACCAUACGUUUGUCAAUUAUGACUAACAUAUCGCAGGACCAGCCAGGGUACCUGAUAUGCCCAGAUCGUGACGAUCUAUGUAAACCCAAGAUGGGCAACGGAGGGAACAGCCCGGGGGUAGCCUUUCUGCGGAAGCAUGAUAAAGCUACCUAAACAAAGAGAGGGAGGGUCAGAGAGGACCCGAGGGUGAAGAAAAACCGGCAUACCCUAGCGGCACGAAGUUCGGCUUAGGUAUGAGAACACCCACACCUCCGUCCUCGUACUUUUGCAAAGUAUGGGGUAAGCUAUUCAAAAAAUUCGGAGAAAACUUCGAAAGAAUAAGAAAGUGAUUGGUUGGACCAAUUGCGCUUUCAACGUUUGAUCGAGAUGUCGCGAUGAUAUUUUGAUUACCUAUUUGUGGGGAAUCUGCCAUAGUUUCCGAGAAGGACAUGCACCACAUUUUUAGGGAAUCCGCCUGAUGUUGGAUAUUUGUUAAGGUACCAGGGGUACCCCAUUUCAAAAAAAAAAAAAAAGAGGUACCCUAGACAUUUACAAGGUAACAGUUUAGUCAAGCAUUCAUUUGCAGAAUAACAAGCAUGCAAAGUACAAGAGAACUCGAUGGCAUGGUAUCAUAACAAAAGAGAAGUCCCAAUAAUACAAAAUAUCUCGAGAAACCAAAAAGAAAGAAACAAGGUCCAAAUAGCAAAAUGUGGAUAGGUCCGAAAAAAAAAAAAAAACAAGAGCACAGUAAGAAGGCUACACCGAGGGGGGAACGACAUCCCCAACAUCCGUCUCCAGAGGGCGAUCAGUAGAGGACUCCGAGGUACCCGGAAUAUGAGCAGCCGAACUAGGGGCAUCCGAAGCAGGCAACGGCUGAAGCUGAUGGGGUACCCGAGGCGACCCGGAGGGGGUACCCGACCGUGCCUGGGAAGGCUUCUUCCUCUCUGCAAUUGUCUUCAGAAUCGUAGCCUUGUUGACAAAUUUCUGCACCCGGGGUACCUCCAACUCCGGAUCCACACUCCACACCUCCGUCAUGAUGAGUGAGAAUGCAUCCUCUGCCAUCGUCUUUUGCCGAGAUAGCAGAUCCCCGUUGGUGGCCCUCAACUCCUCACAGUCCUUCUCCACCUUAGCUUUCUCUCCCGACAGGCCAGCAAUGCGUUCUUGCAGAGUUUUAACUUCUCGAGCAAGCUGAUCCUCGUGAGACUGACGGCUUUGGAGCUCACCCCUUAACUUGUCGACCUCUGACUGGGCGGCAACGAGAGAGUCAAGGUCUGGAAGGCAGUGGCUGAGGAGAAAAGAUGCCUGCGGGUCAUAAAAGACACGUUAAAUAUAUACGUGUGGCAAUAGGAUCAAGUAAAAAAAAAUUUUUUUUUGAAGGGUACACCCGGGGUACCCCGGGAAAGCCUACCUCUUGGGUAGCCCUAAGUGCUUGACCAUAGCGUUGGCUCAAACUCAUCUUGUCAGUCUCCUCAGCAACCUCGGAGGUAACAUUUUCAGCGGAGUAGUAGAAACAGCGAGCCAAGUGCGAAACCUCCUUGUUGGAAGCCGGGUCUAGGUCAUUUUCGCGCAACUCCUCAGGGAAAGCGGAAACCAGCCCGAAUUUUCUCUUCUUCGAGCGAGGGGUACCCUUCGACCCGCUGUGGGAGGUACCCUGAGACUUCCCCUUCGGACCGGGAGCUCGAGGAGGUCGGGAGCCUUUCGGGGGUACCGCCGAAUCCUGAGAUCCGGAAGCACCGCCCACUACCGCCUGGAAAAAGGCGUCGAAAGCGUCACCCGUCGAUUCCAUGACUGCACCCAAUGCACAAAAGUUAUGUUAGCUGGACAAGUACUAAGUACUGCAAAAGUAAAAAAUAGGAAAUGGAAAGCGGGGACGCGAAACGAAGAAUGCAAUGCUAAUGGGGUACCCCAGUCCCAUAAGUAAUAAUAGGAUACCCCCCGACACCCAAAUCAUACAUGAGUUACCCCCAGGAGCAGGCGGAGGACUUCGGUCAAUCAGCCCCGCUCUCCACAAUCGGCUCUCAUCUAGCACAUCACUACCCCUCUGUGCACCUCGAAGCCUGUCCACAAACUUCUUCACCUCUCUCCCCACCUCCUGAACUGGGCAUGAUCCUUUAGCCCAUGUCACACCUGCGAAAGCAUAAAGAACUCAAGGUUAGCGAGACAUUCAGGCGAAAGAUUCCGAUAAAGAACCAUAAGUAAGGGAGAUACUUACAGUCUACAUUGAAGGAAUAAGGAACCUCCACGGGGUCGCCCUUCUCACCCAGAGUCUCUGCCCCCCACCUACCCUCAGCGACAAACCAUCCCUUUCGGUAACUCUUCUUCAAGGCGGGGUUCCCCUCAACGAUGUGGCCAUGAUCACCCUAGGGGGAGAAGUAAGCAAUGCCGGGACCCUUAGGUUUCUUGAAUUGGUAAAGGCCCCUCAACUCCCGAACAGAAAUGUCGCGCUUCACGACCUCCAACCAUAACACAUGUAAGCCCGUCAGUGUCCUCCACCCUGGAAGAGACAGCUGCCCAGGAUCUACCCCCAAAUAACUAAACAUUUUCAUAAAGAAUGGUUGGAGGGGCAGGCGGAGUCCUAGAUCGAAGAGGUCGAUAUGGAGAGCAAUCCCAUCAGACUGUGGACACUCGGGUCUCUCAUCCACAUGGGGUACCCUGAGCUGGACAGACGGAGGAAUAUUGUAUUUGGCUCUAAUUUGCUCUAAGUCCCCCAAAGUAGCCCUCUUAAUGCUUAGGGAAAAAGGGUUGCUAGAUUUUGAAGGUGUGGCAGGGGGAGAUUUAGGCGGCUGGUCCGAGGAACGAGCUGGAACCUUAGGCUUGGUUGACUUACCCUUCUUUCGAGGAUUGGGGGUAGGCCGUUUACUAGGAAAGCGUGGGCUGACACGAGGGGUACUCCUAGAGGGAGGGGGCUCAGAACGAGAAUUACAAUUCUUGGAGGAACUAGGAGGGGACCGAUCCCCCUCACUAAUGGAGAUGUGGGAAGGGGAAUCCGCAGGAGGGCUGUCAACCCUACUAGCCCCAACUUUACGUCGCUUCAUCACGGGUCCCGUGUGUUUCUUACCCAUCUACUUUCCCCCAACAAUACACCCAACGAUACACCCAACAACACAUCCACAAGCCCCCAACAACACAUCCAACAAGCCACAUGUUUUCCCAACAGCAACAUAUCCAUACCAAGCACUAUCCAUCACACAUCAACCACCAAAUGCAAACACCAACCAACAAAAAAAACAAAAACAACAAAAACAAAAAUAAAUUUUUCUCAGAGUAUGCAAAAUAGCGCCACUGUGAAUGCGCCAAAAGAAGAGAAACAAGGAGGGAUACCUAUGAUUCACCAAUUCGACAGAUCAGGAUUGACAAUCGCGGGGAGACGAAGCUGCAGGCAACCAAAAACAGUGGGUAAAAUAUGCAAGUAUAAAAAUAAAGAAUAAAGCUUAAAUAUAUGUACUUAUUUAUAAAUAAGUAAAUAAAUAAAAUGAAGAACGAAGAAGCUGCAAUAACCGGCGUCGGCUGUAAUGGCUGCAACCACCGAGAACCGACGUCGACCACCGCAUCCACCGAACCGACGCCGAUCGCCGCAGCUGCCGCCACCAAGAAGAACUGACGCUGGAAAAAUGCAAAGGAGGACGUCGGCCGAAAAAAAAAAAAACUGAGAAGCUGCAGCCGCUAAACUAACUCCGGAAACCACCAAACCGACACCGGCUGCCACGGCUGCAGCCACCGAACCGACGCCGGCCGCAACCACACCAAACCGACGCCGGAAAUCACAAAGAAAAACACAAGCCGAAACGAAAAAGAGAAAAGAAAAAAAGAGAAGAAAAAGAGAGAAGACAAGGGAAGGAAGAGAGAAAGCACCAAGGGAAAAAUGAAGAAACGAUGAAGGAGGGGUUACCGUGUGUAUCGCCGGACUGAGAUCUCGCCGUGAGCCGCCGGAAAUCGCCUUGAACCGACCAGAUCUGGAGCCCAAAACCGCCACUGCAGCAGCCGCGAUCCACGCCGGAAAACGUACUAGAUCAACGCCGGCCGAGAGAGAAAGAGAAAAAAGAAUGAAAGAAAAGGAAGAAGGAAAAGAGAGAAAAAGGAAGGAGAAACGUGAGAAAGAAAAGGGAGAAAGAAAAUGGGAAAGAAAGAAAACGGAAGAAGAAAGAAAUAAAAGAAAAAGAGUAAAGGGAGAAUAGAGCCUAGGGAAGAUGAACGAGCGUAAAUUUAUUAAUUUCGUUCUACUAAUUUAAGUUAAGUUUAUUGAGUAUUCCAGUUAUUUUAAGCUAAAAUGGACAUUUUCAUAAUUUUAUCACAUAAUCAAACGAAUAAGUGUAUAUUUUAAGAUGGUAAAGAUAGUCAAUAGGUAAACUUAAAGGAAAAACUAAUGGCAAGGUUGGUUUAAUGAGUUUUCAAAAUAUUGGUGGUGGAAUAACGAUAAUUAAUUUAUUUAGGUGUGCAAUUGAAUUUUGAUAUGUACUAGUGGUGCAAAAAAAUAAUAAAUUCAAGUUGAGUCAAAGGCAUGGUAAGAACGCAGACUCCCCAAAGCCCACGACAUAGAUUAUCUAAUGAUUUUUUUAAUUUAUAAAAUUAAAAAAAGAGUUAAUGUUGACUUCGUUUUACCCCAAAAAAAAAAAAAAGUAUGACACUAUUAGGCAUCAAUUUCAAAAUAACGCGGUUUGAUCAACUCCAAUUUAUGAUGUUAUUAUCAAAUGAUAAAUUUUUCUAAUUUUUAGAAGUCGUUUCUUAUCAAAUAAUCAGGGAUUGAAAUAAAUAGCAUAAAAUAACAAAAAUAAGAAAGUUAAGUUGAUGUCCACUGAUUUGUGUAAGUAAAAAGUUUGACUCUUAAAAAGACAUUAAUUUCAUGAGAGACAAUAACGCCAUUUUGAUCCUCUCUAUAAUUAAUGAUGUUAUUUUCAAAUAACAAAAUUAUCUAGCUUUUGGAAAUCUUGGAGAGAAACUAAUUUGGUCGGUUUCUUGAUUAAUGAUUUGAUGGUCAUCGAAUAAUGCAUGACUUGGAAAGAUCUUCCCCCGUUCUUCAAGUUAUUAUUUGACUUUGUUAGUAAAAGGCCUAUCAGAAAGGUUUUUAAAUUCUGGUCUUCUGAGAUUAAAUUAAGUCACAGUUUAAGUUAUCUCAAGAAUAUGGGUUUGGUCAAAUUUUUCUCAGUUAUCUCAAUAUUGUUGCUAAUUCAUUGGCUAAUCAAAGACACAGUUGCAAAAAUUCCUCUUGGAGAAAAUUGAGGAAAAUCUUCUUGAAGAUGGCUAAAUUAUAAAAAGAUAGUACAUGGUGGCCGGACGGAUUAUAAAUUAAGUAAAUAUAUCUAACUUCUUUAAAAUUAAAGCUUCAUAAGACAUAACUAAUGCUCUGUAUGAUUUUAUUAUUGGCUUCCGAAAUUGCACGAUAGGACAGCUGAAAGCAUUUUCCAUUUACUACUUCUUCGAAUUGACUGUUAGGAAAUUGGUAAGUGAAGCAGGAUCGCAACUAAAAUAAAAUUGGAAGAAAUAAAGAAUAAGCACAAAAGAGAAUACCAGAAAUAACAUAGUUCAGCUUUUAGCCAACGUCCACGGGCGAAAAUAGAAGGAAAUAUUUUAUUAGUGAAAUAAGGAUUACAAAUGUUGUAAUAUUUUGGCUCACUACCCAAAACCCGAAUACACCCAAUCUCUCACUCACUAAUUACACAAGAGCAUUAAAACUCUUAAUCUCUCACACAAUUCUUUCUCUUUUACAAAACAGAGAAGAGAAACUUAAGGAAAAAAUGGAAUGAAUUUGCUCAUUCUCUUCGUUUCUAUUUAUAGAGAAAGCUUUGGCACUAUUCAUCAAUUAUAUAUUAUUUUUUUCUUUAGACAGCACCUCCCAUUUUUUUUUCUUUCUUUCUUUCUUCUUUUUCUUCUUUCUCUUUUAUUUCCUUCAAUUUGAUUUUGGCUAGGCCACCACCAGCUUUGACAUUUCUCCCGCUUGGAGAUUUGAUUGAGAAUCAAUCAAUCCCCACACCAUCUUUUCUGCUUCGCCAUAAUCAUGUUACCUACGUUUCUGCUAGGCCACAAGAAGAUCUAGUCCAGACAAACUUAUCAGUAUUUAUCGGCUUAGUCAAAACAUCUGCUAGGUUCUCCUUCGUAUGGAUGUUCUGUAAAUCCACAUUUCCGUCUUCCACUACUUCUCGAACGAAGUGAUACUGAACUCCUAUGUGCUUUGUCCUGGAAUGAAAGGCUGGAUUCCUUGCAAUGUGUAAGGCACUCUGACUGUCACAAAACAUAGAAAUUUUCUCUUGUUUGUGCCCGAGCUCCUCCAAUAACCUUUGUAUCCAAAUAACUUCCUUACAAGCUUGUGUAGCUGUCAUGUACUCUACUUCUGUUGUAGAUAAAGCCACAACAGUCUGCAGUUUUGAAACCCAGCUUACAGCUGCUCCCGCAAAUGUAAACACAUAACCAGUAGUGGAUUUUCUUUUGCUCAAGGAUUUUCUUUUAUCAAGAUCUCCUGCAAAAUCUGAAUCCACAUAGCCCCUGACAGUAAAUUCUGAUCCUCCAUAACAUAAUGCAACAUCUAAGGUUCCUCUGAUGUAUCUCAGAAUUCUCUUCACAGCUAUCCAAUGUUCUCCACCCGGAUUUGCCAUGUAUCGACGGACUGCUCCCACUGCUUAUGCAAUGUCCAGUCUAGUACAUAUCAUAGCGAACAUCAAACUUCCCACUGCUGAUGCAUACAGUACUCGAGACAUUUCUUUCCUCUCCGCUUCAUUGCUAGAACACAUACUUGAAUAUAAUUUGAAAUUAACAAGAAGUGGGGUAGAAAUUGACUUACAAUCUUGCAUGUUGAAGCGCCGCAAGAUUUUCUUCAAGUAAUUCUUCUGCGAAAGCCAAAUUUUCCUGUUAUUUUUGUCUCGGUGAAUUUGCAUCCCUAUAAUCUUGUUUGCUGGUCCCAAGUCCUUCAUUUCAAACUCCCUAGCCAACUGUGCCUUCAAUUCUUGGACUCGAUCUUUGUUGGGGCCUGCUACCAACAUGUCAUCCACGUACAACAGUAAAAUAAUGAAAUCAUUAUCUUCAAACCUCUUAUAAUAUGCACAAUGAUCUGAACUGAGUCUAUUGUAUCCAAGGCUUAUAAUGAAGGAAUCAAAUCUCUCAUACCAAUAUCUCGGCGCCUGUUUGAGACCGUAUAGAGAUUUGUUCAACCUGCAAACCAAGUUCUCCUUUCUUUUUUUAUGCAAAACCUUCUGGUUGGAGCAUAUAUAUUUCUUCUUCAAGUUCUCCAUAAAGAAAUGCAGUUUUCACAUCUAACUGCUCUAGAUGUAGGUCAAAUAUAGCACACAUUGUCAACACUACUCUGACUAUUGUGAGUCGAACCACCGGUGAAAAUAUCUCGUUGAAAUCAAUACCUUCUUUCUGAGCAUAUCCUUUCACCACCAAUCUCGCACGAUACCGCUCCACUUGGUCAUUGCCAUCACGUUUGAUCUUGUAGACCCAUUUAUUUCCAAUGGCUUUUCUUCCACGUGGUAGUGGUACAAGUUCCCAUGUCUUGUUCUUGUGUAGAGCUUCAAUUUCUUCCUGCAUUGCUGUCAUCCACAAAGCAACAUCUGAGCUUUCUAAAGCUUCAUAGAAAGUUGAUGGCUCUCCAUCUUCUAUUAGAAGACAAUAUGCAACGUUGAUCUCUGUGACAUACUCUGAGUGCCACGUUGGUGGUCGUCUCUCACGAGUUGAGCGACGAAUUUCUUGAGCCUCGGACUCGACUAGUUCUUGUUCCUCGUGCUCUGGUGCUGCUUCAGAAGAAUCUGAAUCUUCUGGAUUAUUUUCGACAUAUACCGGCACAAUCCCUGACUUUUCUUUUACAGUGCUAUCACCUCCAUCUUUCAUUUGCAGUUGAUCUUCUACAAAAAUAACAUCUCUGCUGAUGACGAUCUUGUGGGCAGUGGGGUCUCACAGACGAUACCCCUUUACUCCAUCAGCAUAUCCCAAGAAGAUACAUCUUUUAGAUUUUGUAUCCAGCUUUGUUCUUUCUUGGGCAUUGUACAUCACGUACACAGGACAUCCAAAUACAUGUAGGUAGGAAUAAUCAGCUGGCUUUCCAGUCUACAUCUCCAUCGCUAUCUUCAGCCCAAUAACUGUAGAUGGCUAUCGAUUUACUAUAUAACAGGCCGUUUUGGUUGGUUCUGCCCAGAAUGAAUUGGGUAAAUCAGUAGUCUUCAACAUAGCUCUUAUUUUUUCUGUAAGAGUUUUGUUCAUCCGCUCCGCCACUCUGUUUUGUUGAGGAGUGUAUGCCACCGUGAACUGCCUCUAAAUAUCUUUUUGCUUACAGAAAGCAAGAAACUCACCGUCUCUAUACUCUCCAUCAUUAUCCGUCCUCAAGCACUUUAUCUUUUUACCAGAUUCAAGUUCCACCCGCGCUUUGUAUUCUUUAAACACUAGAAAUACAUCUAACUUUUUCUUAAUUGGAUACACCCAACAUGUUCUGGAAUAAUCAUCAAUGAAAGUCACCAUGUACUUUGCACAUCCCAUGGAUAUAUCCAGUGAUUCCCAAACAUCAGAAUGAAUCAAGUUUAGAAUGUAUUUACUUAUAGCAAUAGAUCUACUGAAUUUUAAUCUAUGCUGCUUACUUGUAACACAAUACUUGCAAAAUGGUAAACUUACCGAUUUGAGCCCCAGAAGCAAUUUUCGCUCAGAGAGAAUCUUCAAACCUUGUUAUGAUAUGUGGCCAAGUUUGAGAUGCCACAUCAUCGUUGACUCUUCUCCAUUUGAUGCGACACACGCAUCAGCCUCCUGUAGUGUUUCUUAUUUAAGCAUGAAUAGAUUAGCACCGAUCUUUUCUGCCUUCAUCAAUACAAGCGCUCCUUUAACAAUUUUCAUAAUUCCAUUCUCCACAUGAGUUUUGUACCCAUGACUAUCCAUUUGUCCCAAAGACAAUAGAUUUUUCUUCAAGCCGUUGACAUGUCGUACCUCCUCAAUUGUGCGAAUUGUACCAUCAAACAUUUUUAUUUUGAUAGUACCAGUACCAGCGAUCUCCAAGGCAUGAUCAUCUCCCAUAUAUACAAAUCCUCCUGAAAUAGGUUCAUAUGUGUGGAACCAUUCUCUCCGAGAGGUCAUGUGCCAGGUAGCUCCUGAGUCUAUAAGCCAGACAUCAGAUAGUCGUUUUCUGCCUUCUGAAAUAGUUGUUGCCUCGCUGUAGAGAAUUUCGCCAUCAUUUGAGGUACUUGCUACACACCCCUAAGCAUUUGAUGACUCAGGUUCUUUAACCUCUCUUAUCUUCUGGUUACUCCAACACUCCUUUUUGACGUGCCCUUUCUUGUCACAGUUAUAUCAUUUAACAUUCUUCUUACUUCUGGAUUUUAAUCUACCAUGAUUUUGACUCCCACUGAGGCCACAUUUCGUUGAUCUCCCUCUCGUCACCGAUAGCGCCUCUGCUUGCUGUGAACUUGCUUGUCUGUUUUCUUUAUUUUUCUGCCUGCUCUCCUCAUUUAAUACGGAGGCUGCAAAAUCAUCGAAAACUAUACUGUCCAUUGGAUUGUUGUUCGUCAGGUUGAUGAUGAGUUGAUCAUACGAAUCUGGUAGACUUUGAAGUAGAAGCUCUGCACGUUCAUUUUCCUCUAUAUUAUGACCGAACGUUGUGAGUUGUGAAAAUAGAGUCUUCAAGGUGUUGAUGUGGUCGGUCACCAUUGUAGAUUCCGCCAUUCGAAGAAUAUAGAGUUUUCUCUUCAAGAAGAUUUUGUUGUGUAGUGACUUGGCCUCGUACAAUUUUGUGAGAGUAUCCCAUAUUUCCUUUGUUGUACUUUUCUCUACCACACUGAAUAAUACUCCAUCUGCAAGUGCCAAGUGUAGAUCAGAAAUGGCGUUGCCAUCUAUCUCGUUCCACUUGUCAUCAGCUAUCUCCAUGGGCCUUUCUCCAAUUGCUGCCAAGCAAUUAUUUUUCCUCAAUACAACUUUUAUCUUCAUUUUCCACAACGAAAAAUUAUUUCCGUUAAACUUCUCAAUUUUAUACUUUGCCGCCAUUUUGUUGAUAAAUAUCGCACACAAGUUAGUGUACCACCUUGAAUAGUUGUGAGUAUGUGUGAGAAUUCACACCAGGAAAGUUCCCAGGAAAGACUGGAGGGGUCACAAUGGUCCCACUUAAAACCCAGACUCCUUAAGCUCUUAUCGCCUUUGUGACAGAACUUUCCUAGACAUGUACAAAAACCACACAGUUGUUUUACUCACACCACUAUUCCCUGCUUUGCAUCGCAAAAUUCUUGGACCGCUCCCACCGUUUCAUGUGAAUAGUACAGUAUACGUGAAUUGUACAGUAUAUGUGAAUAGUGUCAUAUACGUGAACAGUGCCAUAUACAUGAAUAGUACCCCCUUACGUGAACAGUACCAGACUUAAAAAAAAUACAACCAAUAGCUCUGAUACCACUGUUAGGAAAUUGGUGGGUGAAGCAGGACCGCAGCUAAAAUAAAAUUGGAAGAAAUAAAGAAUAAGCACAAAAAAGAAUACCAGAAAUUACGUGGUUCGGUUUUUAGCCUACGUCCACGGGCGAAAACAGAAGGAAAUAUUUUACUAGUGAAAUAAAGAUUACAAAUAUUAUAAUAUUUUGGCUCACUACCCAAAACCCCAAUAUACUCAAUCUCUCACUCACUAAUUACACAAGAGUAUUAAAACUCUUAAUCUCUCACACAAUUCUUUCUCUUUUACAAAACAGAGAAGAGAAACUUAAAGAAAAAAUGGAAUGAAUUUGCUCGUUCCCUUCGUUUAUAUUUAUAGAGAAAGUUUUGGCACUAUUCAUCAAUGAUAUAUUUUUUUUUCUUUAGACGGCACCUCCCAAUUUUUUUUCUUCUUUCUCUUUUGUUUCCUUCUUUUUUGUUUCCUUCUUUGGGCUGCUGCCAAAGCCAUGUUUAUUUCUUUGGGCGGCUGCCAAAGCCAAUUUGAUUUUGGCUAGGCCACCACCGGCUUUGACAUUGACUAGUAUCAUCUUCCUCGAUGGUACACUAGAACGCAUUCUCCAUUGCUAUUUAUUCAAAUGCACUAACCUGGGCUUCUUUUGCAUUGUGUUUAAACUAGUCCCAUUUUAAGGGGUUUUUUUUUUCUCCUCUCUAUUCUUUUCCCUAUUUCAGGUAAUAACAAGUGAAUUAGUUAUUCCGCCGUUGUUGUUCCUUUUGAUAUAUUCUUUCACAUGGGGUUGUUCAUUUUUCUUGUUUCUUGUUCUUUUUGGAACUUCCAUUGAAGCAAGUAAAGUCAUUUUACUUAUAAGCUGCUGCAAGCUGUUAAAAAAGAUGGCAAUUAAUUAGUUUCUCAUUUUCUUGUUGAUGAAGCCUGUAUAUGAAUAAAUUACGCGCUAGCUUGUCAUUUUGUUAUUAAAACCUUUAUAUGGCAUGUUCUGCUUUCUGUUUUCUAUUUUUUUUUUGUGAGAAAAUUUUCUAAAUACUUAAUUUUUCUUUUUCCCCUGAAUAUCUACAGAAUGAUUGCUAGAACAACGAUGGGCCAAUGGUUCAAUCUUUUAGUAUGUGCACUCUUAAUACUGAAAGCUCAAGCAUGCUUUAAUGUAUCAAUCACCUAUGUUGAAGAUGCUGUAGCGAAAGGAGCUGGUGGGGAUUAGUACAUAUUUAUAUUGAUGCUUCAUUUUGUGAUUUUCCGUUACUGCGUACUGUAGUUUGUUAGCUGUUUAAUAUGUUUUGCAGUCUGUUUGGAUGGCAGCCCACCUGCUUACCAUUUUGAUAAGGGGUUUGGUGCCGGGAUCAAUAAUUGGUUGGUGCACAUUGAUGUAAUGUCCUCCUCUAUGUAAAAACAUUUCUUAUAUUCACUGCAACUUUAAAUGAUAUGGAUGAAGAGUAAUCAGUCUUACAUAUUAUAGUCAUAAGAAUUCUGGUGAUGUUUACAUUUACCAUUCAUGCUUGUAUUCAUCAUAUACUUUUUUGUUGAUUCAAUUUGCCUUUGGCUUCGGGUUCUUAGGGAGGAGCAUGGUGUAACAAUGUCGCAGAUUGUUCUAACCGAAGGGAUUCCUCACAUGGUUCAUCUAAGUAUAUGGUGAAGGAAGCUAAUUUUACUGGGAUACUAAGUAAUGAGCAGAAAUUUAACCCAGGUAUGACCUUUUUGUGUCGCUUAUUGAUUUGAUUGAUGCAAAUCAAUAAAUUCCCCUUUCCAUUUCUAGACUUCUACGAUUGGAAUAGAGUCAAGGUUAGAUACUGCGAUGGGGCAUCGUUUACUGGAGACGUAGAGGCUGUCAAUCCAGUAAGUUAACUUUUGCCAAAAUUUUCUUAUAUACAUAUUCUUGGGUUCUCUCGUGUGAUAUUUAGUUAGUGAUUUGAUCAGGAAACUAACCUUCACUUCAGAGGAGCAAGGGUUUUUGAAGCUGUCAUGGAGGAUCUAUUGGCUAAAGGAAUGAAAAAUGCUCAAAAUGUAAGAUCAUUCUGUUUUUGUUUUUAAAAAUAUGUUCAUUAGAUUGAUAUGUUUGAUAACUCAUUCGCACUUAUGACAGGCUAUACUUACUGGUUGUUCCGCUGGGGGUUUGACUUCGAUUUUGCAUUGCGAUAACUUCCGAGCUCUCUUUCCCGUUGAUACUAGAGUAAAAUGCUUUGCAGAUGCUGGCUAUUUUGUGAAUGUGUAAGCUCCUGUUCUUUCAUCAACCAUGAUGUGGCAGUUGCUUCAGUUGUUUUUCUUUUCCGAAAUCUGAUUCCCUGGUGUAUUUUUCAAUAGGAAGGAUGUUUCUGGAGCAAGUCACAUUGAGGAGUUUUAUAAACAAGUGGUCGCAUUACAUGUACACACUCUGUCUCUCAUCCUCUUUCAUGCUUACCGACACAAAAUAAUGUUGUUACAUCUUGUGUAGGGAUCGGCUAAGCAUUUGCCAGCAUCCUGCACUUCGAGAUUAAGUCCAGGAUUGGUGAGUUCCACCAUUUUAAUGUUUCUACGUUCUAGUCUUCAUCCAUUCGUUUAUGGACUGACCGAUUCCUUUUAAAAUGACAGUGUUUCUUCCCACAAAACGUAGCAGGGCAAGUCAAGACACCGCUAUUUAUCAUCAACUCAGCUUAUGAUUCAUGGCAGGUUAGCAUAGUUCUUCAAUGUCUAAGAUCCAAUGACAGAAAAUGUGAUACAUAAGCUUAGUGCAAGAAGAUAAUUUUUUGUACUUAAGUGACAUAUCAAGUGAAGCUUGAUUCUUGGGCCUUCUUGCACAAGCAAAAAGAGACUGGUGGAAGAUUGGCACAUUUUUGAUAUGUUAUAUUCGAAGCCACUGAAUAAUUUCAAUAAAUUAUGUGCAAUUUCAAUCUGGUAAUAUUGUUACAAGCGGAAAAUGGCGUGCACAGAUAAGGAACAUUUUGGUUCCGGACAAUGCUGAUCCGAAAGGAACUUGGAGGCGCUGCAAGAAGGAUAUAAAAAUGUGCUCAUCUACUCAGCUGCAAACUAUGCAAGGUAAUUCCCCAAAGCCCCGGAUUACUGCUUUCCACAAAAGACCUUUUUCAUUUUAUUGUUGAUAAUUCAAAGUGUCAAUUCUCGUUGUAUACUUUUCAGGUUUUAGGGUGCAAUUCCUGAAUGCAUUGGCCGGACUUGGCAACUCUUCAUCCAGAGGAAUGCUUAUAGACUCUUGUUAUACUCACUGCCGAACCGUGUUUCAGGAGGCUUGGUUGAGUGCUGACUCUCCGGUGCUGGAUAAAACGGUACGAGUUAUGAUUUCAUCGUUUUGACUUGUUUCCUUUAACAUCUUGAAGUACCAUUGAUUCCCAUUUUUAAGGAUUGAAAAUAUGUUCUACGCAGCCUAUUGCAAAGGCAGUGGGAGACUGGUAUUACGACAGGAAUCCAUUCCAAAAGAUUGAUUGCCCUUACCCCUGCAACCCAUUGCCAGAGAGUUGCUUUUGAAUGGACCUAUUAAUGUAAUGUACACACACAUAAAAUUACAGACCUUGUGUCAAAGCAGAACAAAAUGUAAGAGUCAAGAUCAUUGAGUAGUCAUCAAUGAGCUUGACUGAGUAAGAAUAAAAUGGAUAAAGAGUAUAUGAUUGAUUGAUCAAGUCAAUGAAAUAAUUAAACAGAGGCAACCACCGCACUCAACUUAUGUGCUGGGUGUCUUCUAUCAUUUUCUUAUGUAAUUUAUUUUUCUUAUGUAAUUUAUUGUUGUAACUUCAGUGAAAUAAAUAUUCCAUUUCUUGUUGUUGGAUUGUUGGCAGUAGACGAUCAAUUAUUUAGGAAUCAUUUUGUUUAAUUUUAGUAAUGUCCUAAGACCAUCCUUUUUCCUUUUAACCUUUCACAGUGUGAACUAGUGUGUAUGCAUAGUUAUUUUUUGCUGCAUAAAUAACCAAGUUUAAUUAAAGCUAAUAUUAUAAAAAUAAAAUGCUCUUGCGUCUUGGCACCUUUUUUUCCCCCCUUAAAAUAAUACACUAAAUUACUUAAAUUUUUUAAAAUUAACUACUCUAAUUUUUUUUAUAAUUUCAGAAGUAUUUUAUGCAAUCAAUAAAAUAAGGGAAAUUAUCAUUGCACUACCUUCCUUUUACCUUAUGAUCAUUUAACCACCACAAAAUUUUAACAUGUUCUUUGCACCACCUUUCUUUUUAAAUUUAUAUCAAUUAGCCACUUUUGCACUAACACCGUUGAAUAAUUUAAAUGAAAUGACAAUCCAGAAAUUAUAUAAAACGGUAUUUUAAUUUAAUUAGGGGUAAAUUUGUUAUUUUGUUUAAAUUAUUCAACGGUGUUAGUGCAAAAGUGGCUAAUUGAUACAAAUUUAAAAAAAAAAAAGUGAUGCAAAGAACAUGUUAAAAUUUUAUGGUAUUUAAAUGAACAUAAGGUAAAAGGAAGGUGGUGCAAUGAUAAUUUCACCUAAAAAAAUAGUAUUUUUUUUUGGAAAAAAACAAAGAAUAUUUUUUGAACAAAAAAAUUCACCAAUUUGAAGUUCAUAUCAAAAUAACACUAAAAGUUCACUCUUCAUGUCUUUAAGAACGUAGAUUAAUUAUAUUACACUACAACAUUUUAGUUCAUACUCCCAAAUAUCCCCAAAAAAAAAUGUGACAGACAUCUAUCCAUACCUUAAAUUUCAUCUUAAAUGAUGUGUCAUUCAAUAAAUUAUUUUUUUAUAAUAUUUAAAAAAUUAAUUUUUUAUAAUAAAAAAAUCUUUUAGUAAUUAAAAAGAAAAUACCAAGAAACUCCAGCUCUUGACAUGAGAUAUUAAAAAAAAAUUAUAAUGUGCCGUCAAGAUACAUAUCUUAGUAAUGGCGUGAUAUCAUUUGUAGAAGGCCCAAAUUUGAAGACGGUCCGUCCUUGGCCCACCCCACAAUUUCACCAUUGCAUACUUACAUUGACAAUAAAUACUCUUCUCUCGGGGUUUUUAAUUAAAGAUGCCCUAAAAAUGAGGUAUUUAGUUAAAUAUAUCUCAUGGUUGAAAAUUAUUUAUAUAUACUUUUUUAUGUGGUACAUUAUCUAAAAUGCCUCUAAAGAAAAAUAUAAAACACGUAAUUAAAGAUGCUCUAAAAAUGGGGUAUUUAGUUAAAUACCAACUGUAAUAGUCUAUUUAGGCUAAGCAUUCCUUAAAUUAUAUGAUCCUCAUAUUAUAUCACAUAAAUUGUACAAAACUAUCUUGUUGUCUUUGAAUAUUACACUUAACAAAAAAUAAUUUAACACUACUAGUUAGAAAUACCUAACUAUAAUCUUGUGUCUAUGAAAAUAUUCAACUAUAGUCGUGUACCUAUAAAAAUACCUGACUGUAUUAAUGUAUUUUAGCCAGUCAUUCCUUCAAUAUAUAUGAACACCCUGAUCUAUAACAGACAUUAUACAAAAUUAUCUUCUUUCUCAAUAAUAUACUUAAGCAAAAAAAAAACAUGAAUACUGAUGUAAAAUCAUCUUUAAUGAUAUCAAAUGUCAAUGACAUUCCCAUUGCAACUAUUAUAUCUCAUGUUAAUUAAUCCAAAAAAUGGCAAAAUCACAACAAUGAAGUUUUUAAGGAUACGACACUAUGUAGUUGGUUUCAACGACCUGUGUCCAAAUAAUUUGAUAGCCAAUGCUUUUCGAAAUUAUGACACUAUGUAGUUGGUUUCAACGACCUGUGUCCAAAUAAUUUGAUAGCCAAUGCUUUUCGAAAUUAUGUAACAUCAUCAUAUUGACAAAAUGUGUUCACGUCAAGGCCAUAGGCUAGGACCUCCAAGUACUACAACAAAAAUGCUUCACAAUAAAAUUCAUAUACAUCAAUAAUAAAAUCACCAUUCUUAUUGAAAUAUAUAUAUAUAUAUGUGUGUGUGUGUGUGUGUGUGUGUGUGUGUGUGUGUGUGUGUGUGUGUGUGUGUGUGUGUGAUAUACUCAAUUGCAUCCCCUGAUUUUAUUGCAGGAUAUUACGUACUCACAAGGAUGAUCUUUAUUUAUGUCUUCUACUGCAGGAUAUUACGUACUCACAAGGAUGAUCUUUAUUUAUGUCUUCUACUGCAUCUAGUGAUAAUCAAUUAGAAAUAUUUGCUUUGAAGUAUUUAGAUUCCUUAAUUUUCAGUUCCCAUCUGCAUAAACAUAAAAUAUUUUAAUUAUAAUAUAAAACGACCAAAAAGUUGGAUAAUAACAUAUUCUAAACCAAUAAAAAAAAUUACACGACACACCAGUCGAGUAAAGCAUUCAUAACACAACUACAGUCGAGUAAAACAUUCAUUACGCAACUAUAGCCGAGGAAAGUAUUCAUUACAUGAUUACAGCCGAGUAAAGCAUUCAUUACACGAUUACAACAAGCAUAAAAUAUGUUUUGACUUCUAUAUUUCCUUGGAUUUAAAUCAUUUCAUGAUAAUACAUAAUGCUUACAACAUAAAACUACAUAAAAGCUAAAUAUGUUUUGACUUCUAUAUCUCCUUGGAUUCAAAUCUCUGUACAGAAUUUUAAGUGGAUGACAGUAUAGAAAAGAAUUUACUUUAAUAUGGCUUGUCAACGAAUAGAGAGAAUGAAUGAAAAUUUUGUUUAUUAUAAAAAAUAUAUUGAUGGACCAUUAAAAAGCCAAAUGGUCAUUUAAUCAUUAACAUAUUAUUUGAAAUCCAUUCAAUAUGGGUAAGAAAUAAUUAGAAUUGUAAAUUGAAGGUUCCAUAGCAAAUAAUAGAGAAAACCCAGAUUGCGACAUAAUGAACGCAUACACAGCUGAAGAAAAUUAAUAUAUAAUUUCCAUGGAUGAAGUCCAACUACAAACAAUAAAUAAAAUUAAACACAUAUCUAAUAGAUAAAUCAGUGUAGCCAUAAUCGAGUAGUCACAAGGAUAAUAUUUGUUUUAUCCAAUUCCCUUUGAAUAUUUAAUUAGGAACUCCUAUAACCAUUACAAGGAGAGUAAACUCCCUUGAAAUAACUCUCUUCAAUUUCAACUCCGCAAGUUCAAGAAGCUUCAUUACAUGAAUCAUGAAGAAACAUUAUCAGCAAGCAUGCAAGUGAAACAAAUAACUCGGCCAACUACAAUAAUGACCAAAAUCACGUGGGCAAUUUAUUUUUUAAAACCCUAAUGCAUAUAACCCCAACAAUUAUGAAUCCUAAAUUCUCUUUAUGAAGUAAAAAUUAAGUGUAAAUGUGGUAAAUAAUCUUUAAUUCGGUGAAUUUCCAGCCUUCAGUUUAGUGAAUUUCCAAUGAAAGUAGUGGAUUUGUGGUGUUAGAACCAGCAGCAAAAGAAGCACAAACUUACAGCAGCAGAAGUAUCCUGGGCAUUGAAAUAUCUGUGAUUUUGAAAUAUUAGAUUUUGAAUUGGGGUAAUUCUGUAAUUGCACAUUGAGAAAUUUUAGGGUCUAGCUAUGGUACCACUGUAGUAUCAUGUGUCACUAUAGUUGGAUUCAAUGGUUGGAUUCAGCUGUGGUACCAUAGUUUUGCUCGAAAUUUUGAAUUAUGAGGAUGUAUUAGGUAAAUACCCUACUUUUGGGGUAUGGCGUGGACAAAUUCCUGCUUCUCUCUCAAUCUCAAAAACACAACCUUCGCCCUUCGGUUGCAGUUGCAGUGUUAAUGGAUUGGAGUUUUGUACACACAACUUGGGAAAAAUGGGCUUCUACCAGUGUUGGCUCUUCCGGUAAUGUACCCUCCAAGAACCCCCUCGGGCUUUUCAUUAUUUUAGUUAUUACCACGUUAGAUAUAUUAGAUUUAUAAUUUAUAUAAUAAAAGGCUGCUGAUCAUGCCAGUGCAAGAGCUAUAGAGUAAGCAGCCAUUGAUUUUUGUUUCUAAAUUUUGCUUGUAGGUGAGCCCUUGAAGGCGGCUUUGCUUAUCAACCAGGACCCCACUGGUCCCUCUCGUUUGUUAUCCACUAUGUCAGCUUCGUGCUUUUUUUUUUUUUUUAAUAUAUAUUUUAAAUACCCUUUUAUAUAUAUGUUGUUCUGUUCAUAAGCAGUGAAAUUUUGAAGCUUCGUUAUGGUUUGUGCAGUGCAGAACAAGAAAGGUAUCAAGGCCGACGCGAUUGACUUGACUGAAUUUGUUGAUUUUGUCAAACUCAAUAAACUUCAGACUGACUGCUUUGUUAUUGGACAAAAAACCAAUGCAAGCUAUUCGUGUCUCCUUUACAUUUGUGAGUGAAAUUCAAUUGUUGGACUUGAAUUUUGCGGUGAAUUAUUUAUUAUUGCUAGAGUUGCUAGUAAGUUGAUCGUAAUGGUUUUAUCAUAUUGAUGACAAUUGACGCAGACAUAGUUACCUCGAUUCAUGAGAAUAUGACAAUUUUUAUAAGAGGAAAAGAGAGAGUCGUUCUCUUAAUCAAGAAAAAUACCAUUAAAUCUAGAAUAUAAAAAUUAAUGGCUGAAAAAUUAACGUGUGCGUGAUCUAUGGUCAAAUAUUCUAAAUCCUUGAAAUUAAAAUAACUUGAAAAAUUAAUAUUGAAAAAAAAUAAAUGAAAUUGUCACUUUCGAUCACAUAAUCAAUGAAAAUCAGGAUAUAAUCAACACCUAUUUAUUUUAUUUCUAAAUUAUGACUUUUUCAUUAUUAUUCAAAGAAGGGAGUUUUUCUUUAAAAAACUCUCACCAUAAUAUAAGUGGCUUAAACCUUUUUUUGUUUUGAAAUAUAAAUUAACUUAAAAGCAAACAAGUAACAAAAUUAUCUUUUAAGAAGGCUUUAUAUAUGUAGAGGGGACUAGUCCACCUAUGUCAAUUCUUCCAAGUUAGUGAAAUUGUGUGACUUUAUUUAAUUAGAAGGAGCAACAACUUCAAUCUCUAUUUAUACGUCAUUAUCCUUUAGCUAUAUUUGUGCGACUUUAUUUAUACGUAGGGAAAUGAGUUAACAAGUUAUAUUUUCCAAGCACCAAGGUAAAUUACUCCUUAGGUCAUUAUGGUCAAUAAAUGAGUCUUCAUUUUACAAUUAAUAAAUGUAUAAAAUAUUUGAACUAAUUAAUAGUAUAGUAUUAUAUAUGUUAAAUUCUUCAAAAAGUAAGAUAGAAUGUAUACUUGAUAAUUUCGUUCUACUAAUUUAAGUUAAGUUUAUUGAGUAUUCCAGUUAUUUUAAGCUAAAAUGGACAUUUUCAUAAUUUUAUCACAUAAUCAAACGAAUAAGUGUAUAUUUUAAGAUGGUAAAGAUAGUCAAUAGGUAAACUUAAAGGAAAAACUAAUGGCAAGGUUGGUUUAAUGAGUUUUCAAAAUAUUGGUGGUGGAAUAACGAUAAUUAAUUUAUUUAGGUGUGCAAUUGAAUUUUGAUAUGUACUAGUGGUGCAAAAAAAUAAUAAAUUCAAGUUGAGUCAAAGGCAUGGUAAGAACGCAGACUCUCCAAAGCCCACGACAUAGAUUAUCUAAUGAUUUUUUUAAUUUAUAAAAUUAAAAAAAGAGUUAAUGUUGACUUCGUUUUACCCCAAAAAAAAAAAAAAAGUAUGACACUAUUAGGCAUCAAUUUCAAAAUAACGCGGUUUGAUCAACUCCAAUUUAUGAUGUUAUUAUCAAAUGAUAAAAUUUUCUAAUUUUUAGAAGUCGUUUCUUAUCAAAUAAUCAGGGAUUGAAAUAAAUAGCAUAAAAUAACAAAAAUAAGAAAGUUAAGUUGAUGUCCACUGAUUUGUGUAAGUAAAAAGUUUGACUCUUAAAAAGACAUUAAUUUCAUGAGAGACAAUAACGCCAUUUUGAUCCUCUCUAUAAUUAAUGAUGUUAUUUUCAAAUAACAAAAUUAUCUAGCUUUUGGAAAUCUUGGAGAGAAACUAAUUUGGUCGGUUUCUUGAUUAAUGAUUUGAUGGUCAUCGAAUAAUGCAUGACUUGGAAAGAUCUUCCCCCGUUCUUCAAGUUAUUAUUUGACUUUGUUAGUAAAAGGCCUAUCAGAAAGGUUUUUAAAUUCUGGUCUUCUGAGAUUAAAUUAAGUCACAGUUUAAGUUAUCUCAAGAAUAUGGGUUUGGUCAAAUUUUUCUCAGUUAUCUCAAUAUUGUUGCUAAUUCAUUGGCUAAUCAAAGACACAGUUGCAAAAAUUCCUCUUGGAGAAAAUUGAGGAAAAUCUUCUUGAAGAUGGCUAAAUUAUAAAAAGAUAGUACAUGGUGGCCGGACGGAUUAUAAAUUAAGUAAAUAUAUCUAACUUCGUUAAAAUUAAAGCUUCAUAAGACAUAACUAAUGCUCUGUAUGAUUUUAUUAUUGGCUUCCGAAAUUGCACGAUGGGACAGUUGAAAGCAUUUUCCAUUUACUACUUCUUCGAAUUGACUAGUAUCAUCUUCCACGAUGGUACAGUAGAACGCAUUCUCCAUUGCUAUUUAUUCAAAUGCACUAACCUGGCCUUCUUUUGCAUUGUGUUUAAACUAGUCCCAUUUUAAGGGUUUUUUUUUUUUCUCCUCUCUAUUCUUUUCCCUAUUUCAGGUAAUAACCAGUGAAUUAAUUAUUCCGCCGUUGUUGUUCCUUUUGAUAUAUUCUUUCACAUGGGGUUGUUCAUUUUUCUUGUUUCUUGUUCUUUUUGGAACUUCCAUUGAAGCAAGUAAAGUCAUUUUACUUAUAAGCUGCUGCAAUCUGUUAAAAAUGAUGGCAAUUAAUUAGUUUCUCAUUUUCUUGUUGAUGAAGCCUGUAUAUGAAUAAAUUACGCUCUAGCUUGUCAUUUUGUUAUUCAAACCUUUAUAUGGCAUGUUCUGCUUUCUGUUUUCUUUUUUUUUUUUUUUGUGAGAAAAUUUUCUAAAUACUUAAUUUUUCUUUUUCCCCUGAAUAUCUACAGAAUGAUUGCUAGAACAACGAUGGGCCAAUGGUUCAAUCUUUUAGUAUGUGCACUCUUAAUACUGAAAGCUCAAGCAUGCUUUAAUGUAUCAAUCACCUAUGUUGAAGAUGCUGUAGCGAAAGGAGCUGGUGGGGAUUAGUACAUAUUUAUAUUGAUGCUUCAUUUUGUGAUUUUCGGUUACUGCGUACUGUAGUUUGUUAGCUGUUUAAUAUGUUUUGCAGUCUGUUUGGAUGGCAGCCCACCUGCUUACCAUUUUGAUAAGGGGUUUGGUGCCGGGAUCAACAAUUGGUUGGUGCACAUUGAUGUAAUGUCCUCCUCUAUGUAAAAACAUUUCUUAUAUUCACUGCAACUUUAAAUGAUAUGGAUGAAGAGUAAUCAGUCUUACAUAUUAUAGUCAUAAGAAUUCUGGUGAUGUUUACAUUUACCAUUCAUGCUUGUAUUCAUCAUAUACUUUUUUGUUGAUUCAAUUUGCCUUUGGCUUCGGGUUCUUAGGGAGGAGCAUGGUGUAACAAUGUCGCAGAUUGUUCUAACCGAAGGGAUUCCUCAUAUGGUUCAUCUAAGUAUAUGGUGAAGGAAGCUAAUUUUACUGGGAUACUAAGUAAUGAGCAGAAAUUUAACCCAGGUAUGACCUUUUUGUGUCGCUUAUUGAUUUGAUUGAUGCAAAUCAACAAAUUCCCCUUUCCAUUUCCAGACUUCUACGAUUGGAAUAGAGUCAAGGUUAGAUACUGCGAUGGGGCAUCGUUUACUGGAGACGUAGAGGCUGUCAAUCCAGUAAGUUAACUUUUGCCAACAUUUUCUUAUAUACAUAUUCUUGGGUUCUCUCGUGUGAUAUUUAGUUAGUGAUUUGAUCAGGAAACUAACCUUCACUUCAGAGGAGCAAGGGUUUUUGAAGCUGUCAUGGAGGAUCUAUUGGCUAAAGGAAUGAAAAAUGCUCAAAAUGUAAGAUCAUUCUGUUUUUGUUUUUAAAAAUAUGUUCAUUAGAUUGGUAUGUUUGAUAACUCAUCAGCACUGAUGACAGGCGAUACUUACUGGUUGUUCCGCUGGGGGUUUGACUUCGAUUUUGCAUUGCGAUAACUUCCGAGCUCUCUUUCCCGUUGAUACUAGAGUAAAAUGCUUUGCAGAUGCUGGCUAUUUUGUGAAUGUGUAAGCUCCUGUUCUUUCAUCAACCAUGAUGUGGCAGUUGCUUCAGUUGUUUUUCUUUUCCGAAAUCUGAUUCCCUGGUGUAUUUUUCAAUAGGAAGGAUGUUUCUGGAGCAAGUCACAUUGAGGAGUUUUAUAAACAAGUGGUCGCAUUACAUGUACACACUCUGUCUCUCAUCCUCUUUCAUGCUUACCGACACAAAAUAAUGUUGUUACAUCUUGUGUAGGGAUCGGCUAAGCAUUUGCCAGCAUCCUGCACUUCGAGAUUAAGUCCAGGAUUGGUGAGUUCCACCAUUUUAAUGUUUCUACGUUCUAGUCUUCAUCCAUUCGUUUAUGGACUGACCGAUUCCUUUUAAAAUGACAGUGUUUCUUCCCACAAAACGUAGCAGGGCAAGUCAAGACACCGCUAUUUAUCAUCAACUCAGCUUAUGAUUCAUGGCAGGUUAGCAUAGUUCUUCAAUGUCUAAGAUCCAAUGACAGAAAAUGUGAUACAUAAGCUUAGUGCAAGAAGAUAAUUUUUUGUACUUAAGUGACAUAUCAAGUGAAGCUUGAUUCUUGGGCCUUCUUGCACAAGCAAAAAGAGACUGGUGGAAGAUUGACACAUUUUUGAUAUGUUAUAUUCGAAGCCACUGAAUAAUUUCAAUAAAUUAUGUGCAAUUUCAAUCUGGUAAUAUUGUUACAAGCGGAAAAUGGCAUGCACAGAUAACGAACAUUUUGGUUCCGGACGAUGCUGAUCCGAAAGGAACUUGGAGCAGCUGCAAGGUGGAUCUAAAAACCUGCUCAUCUACUCAGCUGCAAACUAUGCAAGGUAAUUCCCAAAAGCCCCGGAUUACUCCUUUCCACAAAAGACCUUUUCCAUUUUAUUGAUGAUAAUUCAAAGUGUCAAUUCUCGUUGUAUACUUUUCAGGUUUCAGGGUGCAAUUCCUGAAUGCAUUGGCCGAACUUGGCAACUCUUCAUCCAGAGGAAUGCUUAUAGACUCUUGUUAUACUCACUGCCGAACCGAGUAUCAGGAGGCUUGGUUGAGUGCUGACUCGCCGGUGCUGGAUAAAACGGUACGAGUUAUCUGUUUCCUUUAACAUCUUGAAGUACUACUGAUUCCUAUUUGUAAUGAUUGAAAAUAUGUUCUACGCAGCCUAUUGCAAAGGCAGUGGGAGACUGGUAUUACGACAGGAGUCCAUUCCAAAAGAUUGAUUGCCCUUACCCCUGCAACCCAUUGCCAGAGAGUUGCUUUUGAAUGGACCUAUUAAUGUAAUGUACACACACAUAAAAUUACAGAUCUUGUGUCAAAGCAGAACAAAAUUUAAGAGUCAAGAUCAUUGAGUAGUCAUCAAUGAGCUUGACUGAGUAAGAAUAAAAUGGAUAAAGAGUAUAUGAUUGAUUGAUCAAGUCAAUGAAAUAAUUAAACAGAGGCAACCACCGCACUCAACUUAUGUGCUGGGUGUCUACUUACAACAUAACGUUUACAAUGUGCUGGUUUAUUGUGAAAUUUCAAAAAAGCGAUGAAGAAAUAGUUUUUUUCUUAAGUUUUUGCCAAAUGUAUUGAUAAGGUUAGGAGUUGGUAUACAUACAGAUGUUGUAUGCAUGAAGCAUGCUGUGAAGCAUGUUGUGAGACACUGUGGAUCAAUAUGAAUGGUUAUUUGUGACUUUAUUAUGACAGUGCUAUAUUUAUAGCAAGAUAUCUAAAUGAUUUUUUGUAUUACUAGAAUGUUUGACAGUAAAUGGAAGUCGAAAGGGAAUCAGGGUUUGCAUCAUUUUCACUUCUUAGAGCACUAGCGUACAGUAACUAUUUGCAUGUUUAAGGCUGCAAUCAAUGAGCAGAUCAAGUGGCUUCAGUCUAUUGUAUGUUGCUAUCUCUUUGAAAUUCAUUUUUCUAUAUCAUUUUAUCUUCUUUUUGUCUUUAUAUCAAUUAAGUUAUUACUUGUCUUUUUGGGUUUGUAUUAUAGUGUGGAAUUCAACGUGCUCUAUGUACCACCCCAUGUAUGCCUAUAAUGCUUAGGAUAAUUUUGCUCUCAGGAGCCUUGCCUAGCAAUUACUUAGAACUCAUAUUUUUCCUAACUUUGUCGCUACUUUGAUUGCAUCAAGCGAUGAAUAAUGUCCUAAUCAGAAUUUUCGAGGGGGAAUUGGGGAAUAUUGACCCCUUCAAAGUUUGAAAAACAAGAGAAUGAAGACUCCUUAUAUUGUACGGUACUAUGAUAUGCUCCGUAAGGUUUUUUUUUAACUAAACAAGUGACAUUAAAUUUUAUUUUUUAUGUCGAUGAUACGUGGGUGUAACUAAUAUAUAGGGAGUAAUUGUAGUAGUGCCUGAAGAGAACACGAAAUAUAGUCAACCUAAAAAAUAAAAGCCAAUUUUUUAUUUAUUUUUUAUUUUAUUUCAUCUCACUCGAAUUUUAUAAAAUUAGUGGGUUUGUUGUAACUAAUCUUAUUUGUCCCUUUGAAAUAACUGAUAAUACUCUUAUCACCGAAUGUUUAACAGACUCGAAACGUCGUAACAUAACUACCACGUCAAACAAACGCGUAGCUUGAGCCGUGAGCUACAACCGCAUAACCGUUACAUAUGUAGAGCAGUACGAAGCGGUGCAGUUAAAGCAAGCGUUUAAGAAGUGAUUUAAGCUGAUGCAGGCGUAAAGUAUAAGAAGAAUAAAACAACAUGCUUUUACUGUAGCCAACAAAAAAUGGAGCUUUCUACCAAGUUAUUGUAUUCAAAAGCUUCUGGGCUGUGCCAUUUGGCUUUUGAAUUUGGUCAACAAAAUUUGAUUAUGUUGAUUAACAGUCAAAUUUUGAUUUUAGCUCCUUGAGUCAUGUGGAGCACACAUGUUGUCUGUAAAGAAGUAUAAGGUCUACCUCUCAAAGCUUCUUUAAAAUUAGAUUUUUAAAUAAUAAUUUUGUCAAAUAUGGUACAAAAAACUGUAUUUUCUAGACUGAAGUUGCAAGUAUUUACCAAACGGAGCUUAAUGUAUGUUGAACAAUUAUGAUGGUUUCUAUGGUUUUAUCUGAACAAUAAUUUGGAAUAUAUGCUAUGUAGCACAGCAUUUUCAGAGGAAUAUUGUUCGUGGCAUUGAAGGGUUUGCUGCAGUAAGCUUGAAACAAAUGGAAAUAGGUUGUUUGUUUGCUCUUGCGUUCGUUAUAAUAUUUGAUUUUUUUUUUUUUUUCUUGACUAGUUCUUGUGUACAAUAUUUUUGUAUUCAAAUAUUGUAGCGAGAAAGUUGGCUGAAGAUUGUUGCAAGUAUGGAGCAGAGAAUCAAAGUGACAAUUCUUGCGUUGCAAGAGCUGCUCUUCAAUUUGGCACUUCACAUGAUUUGAUGGAAAUGAGAGGGAAACUUUGCUCGGGAUUCUUCGUGAUCAGGUUAGUUCAUCCCUAACUAGAAAAUAAUUCAAAUAUAGAAAAUUAUAUGUAAAAUUAUUAUCGAAACUAUUAUCUUCUCAUAAGGAAACUUAGUUCUAAGAUAUUGAAUAAAAGAAUCCAUUUUAAAGUUACAACUCUGAAAUAUUUGAUGUUUUCCAUUACAAUCAUUGCUAGUGACAUCCAUGACUUAAUAAUUUUAUUGGUUCAAAUGUUGAAGAGACCUUGUGACUUCUUACAUCACUAGCAAACACUAGCGUGUGACAAGUUAUUGGCCAUGAGUUCUCUCAAUUGACUCCAAGCAUUUUCGAUAAAGACACUUGCAUCUAUAGUAAAAUCAAAUCCAUGAGACUGAAGGAUGUAUGUGGAUGUCUUACAGGCCUAAUUUAGAUAUUUGCAUAGGUUUAUUUCUAUUUUAACCUUAAAUACAGAAGAGAAGAACAAUAACCUAAUAUCAAUCAUCCUAAGACCCAAAAUUGCAGAAAUUAUCCUUAUAUAUAUUCUUAAAGUAGGCCCAAAUUCCAUGAUUAUGUUGGAGGAACUUUUUAAUUGAGGUUUCGCUCUUUCUUUUCAUUUUUUAACUAUGUUACAGGUUUUUGGACAUGUAGGUAUCUGAACCACUGCGGGCGUUAAUCAACGGAGCACCUUUGGAAGAUGCUCGACACCUGACUCAUCGUUAUGAAAAACUUCGACAUGAAGUUGAACCCCAGAUAAGCUUUGAGGUAACAUAUGCAAGUAUAAGGCAAGAUGAGAAUUAUGUUAGAUUUAUAUUGAAUAUUUUCACCAGGCAGCUGAAGUAUUUAGGCGCCGAUCAAAGAUUAGGGAAUCUGAUAUAUCAGCAGAGAGUGCUGUGAAGCUUCGAAAUGCAGAAGCAAGAUUGACCGAGCUUAAAUCUACAAUAAUGGCUCUUGGUAGAGAAGCGACAGCUACCAUGCUGUCGGUUGAAUCACAGUAGCAACAGAUGACAAUAAUCUAUAAGUUAAUACUUUCAUGUGUGUGCCUAUGCAUGUGCUGACAUUCUGC